This is an RNA transcript of Mercenaria mercenaria, 1358 nucleotides long. It is a transcript of the gene named cysteine and tyrosine-rich protein 1-like, with no coding region annotated. The record is from RefSeq and is a predicted model, not a curated record. The transcript is spliced from 4 exons. NCBI's taxonomy places the organism in Eukaryota, Metazoa, Mollusca, Bivalvia, Venerida, Veneridae.
AAAUUGAUAUAUGUUCUAAAAUUAUACGAUAACAACUCUACGAUUUUAAUGUUAUAUUUUCUUUGUAGAGAAUACGAGUGUUACUACAGUGAUGGAAGAACCCUUUACUGUGAAAGCUGUUGCGAAUACGAGUGUUGCGACGGUGGGGACGGACUGUCUGGUGGUGCCAUUGCAGGGAUUGUAGUAGGUACUAUAAUUCUCCUGGCGCUGAAAGUCUGCUGUAUCUGUGCCCGAGUGAGGAGGUAUCAACGAUGUACAAGAACAACUAUUGUCACUGUCCCAAGAUCUGUUGUUGUAACUAAUCAACACCAUGUCGGCUACGACCAAACAAGAAUCCCAACAAUUCAUCAGCCAAACCCUAAUCAAGCAAGGAACGUGAACCAGACUGGAUACGACCAACAAGUGCCCAAUUUCGAGCCAAUCCCUCCACCGCCGUAUGAGAGUGUAACUAAACAAACACAGAAAUGAACUGGAUUGUGUAGAGAGAUAGCAAGAGAAAAGAACUUAUCACUGUAAAGCCUGUCUAAAAUGACCACCUAUAAAUCGGAAAGAAAUCAGUGACUUGUAAGGCCAGGUGGUCUCUGUGUACAUGUGACUUCUAACACAGGCUUGACUGUAUAUUUGCUAGUAGGUUAGAUAAUUCAUUGACAAAGUCAAACAAUUGUGAACAAAGAAAUGAAAAUGAUGUACAUAUAAAUGUGUAUGUUUUAUGAGCAGUAUGUAUUUACACUUGCCCUACAAUAAAUCAUUAAAUUUUGUCACCUUCUUACAAUCGAGAUACUGGUAUAGUGCGCAUAAACUAUAAAUCGUUCAUAUUUUAUUGCAUUUUUCUUCGACAACAUCAUUCAUACAUAAAGAACACUUGAAAUAUUUAUACUGCAGAAACAGUACGAGUAUAAAUGUUACGAUUCUUACAUUUAUUUACUUUAACACUAGAUCGUUAGGCAAAUAUAGCAAUUUACGUAGCUGCAAUUAUAUCUUAUCUUUACCGUUCGUUUGCAUUUAUUACUUGAAAAGAAACUUGUUUUAUAGAUGUGUUCAUAGUUCAGAAUAUAAACGACAGCAUAGUAAAAGUGAUAUUCUAAUUCAACAUUUUUGUGUACAAAUUUUGCUAAUUCUAUCAUUUCCGCUUGACUCUGUUACAAAUUUUCAUCAAAGUAUUAUGUUUAAUUAUAAUGUUUAUUUGAACAAAACAUAUACAUGUUACUUGAACCAAAGAGUUCUUGUUUCAUUUCAAAUUAUAAAAUAAAGCGAAUUAAUUGUCCAUCAUAUCUAAUUAAAUAUCUAAAUUACUUUACUGACCUUUUGUAUUAUUCUAUACUUUAUCUGCUCAAUGUAAAGAGUUCUUACAAAACAUG